GUGUCAGCCGCCGCGGUAAUACAGAGGGUGCAAGCGUUGUUCGGAAUUACUGGGCGUAAAGCGCGUGUAGGUGGCGAGAUAAGUCGGGUGUGAAAUCCCUUGGCUUAACCAAGGAAGUGCAUUCGAUACUGUUUCGCUUGAGUAUCGGAGGGGUCGGCGGAAUUCCCGGUGUAGAGGUGAAAUUCGUAGAUAUCGGGAGGAACACCUGUGGCGAAGGCGGCCGACUGGACGAUCACUGACACUGAGACGCGAAAGCGUGGGUAGCAAACAGGAUUAGAUACCCCCGUAGUCC
RNAcentral lists this ribosomal RNA (292 nucleotides) under uncultured bacterium. RNAcentral's name for it is "partial 16S ribosomal RNA". It matches the Rfam family "Bacterial small subunit ribosomal RNA", at positions 505 to 796 of the family's 1533-position model. The record is from RNAcentral.